Molecule: ribosomal RNA, 202 nt
Filed under: Clostridioides difficile
Lineage: Bacteria; Bacillati; Bacillota; Clostridia; Peptostreptococcales; Peptostreptococcaceae
Description: partial 23S ribosomal RNA
Rfam family: Bacterial large subunit ribosomal RNA
Source: RNAcentral
ACCGACACAGGUGGGUGAGGAGAGUAUCCUAAGGCCAGCGAGAGAACUGUUGUUAAGGAACUCGGCAAAAUGACCCCGUAACGUAGGGAUAAGGGGUGCCACCAUCAGGUGGCCGCAGAGAAUAGGCUCAAGCGACUGUUUACCAAAAACAUAGGUUUCUGCUAAGUCGCAAGACGAUGUAUAGGAGCUGACGCCUGCCCGG